UACGGGGGGGGCAAGCGUUGUUCGGAAUUACUGGGCGUAAAGGGCUCGUAGGCGGCCAACUAAGUCGGACGUGAAAUCCCUCGGCUUAACCGGGGAACUGCGUCCGAUACUGGAUGGCUUGAGUUCGGGAGAGGGAUGCGGAAUUCCAGGUGUAGCGGUGAAAUGCGUAGAUAUCUGGAGGAACACCGGUGGCGAAGGCGGCAUCCUGGACCGACACUGAGGCUGAGGAGCGAAAGCCAGGGGAGCAAACGGG
Molecule: ribosomal RNA, 253 nt
Filed under: uncultured bacterium
Lineage: Bacteria
Description: partial 16S ribosomal RNA
Rfam family: Bacterial small subunit ribosomal RNA
Source: RNAcentral